This 218-nucleotide ribosomal RNA is filed under the name uncultured Micromonas. RNAcentral's name for it is "partial Bacterial large subunit ribosomal RNA". It matches the Rfam family "Bacterial large subunit ribosomal RNA", at positions 13 to 231 of the family's 2925-position model. The record is from RNAcentral. Lineage: Eukaryota; Viridiplantae; Chlorophyta; Mamiellophyceae; Mamiellales.
AAGCGCAUACGGUGGAUGCCUUGGCAGUCAGAGGCGAUGAAAGACGUGGAAGCCUGCGAUAAGGUUCGGGGAGCUGGCAAACAAGCUGUGAUCCGGGCAUUUCUGAAUGGGGAAACCCACCGACUUUCGGGUCGGUAUCUUACACUGAAUCCAUAGGUGUAAGAGGCGAACCGGGGGAACUGAAACAUCUAAGUACCCCGAGGAAAAGAAAUCAACCG